ACACGUAGGGGCCUGACGUUGUUCGGAAUCAUUGGGCGUAAAGGGCGCGCAGGCGGCCGUCCAAGUCCGGUGUUAAAUGGUCGGGCUCAACCCGAUCAUGCGCUGGAAACUGGGCGGCUGGAGUCCCGGAGGGGAUGCCGGAAUUCCAGGUGUAGGGGUGAAAUCUGUAGAUAUCUGGAAGAACACCGAUGGCGAAGGCAGGCAUCUGGCCGGAGACUGACGCUGAGGCGCGAAGGCGCGGGGAGCGAACAGGUUUAGAUACCCUGGUAGUCCGCGCAGUAAACGAUGAAUACUAAGUGUUGGAAAAAUCCAGUGCUGAAGUUAACGCAUUAAGUAUUCCGCCUGAGUAGUACGUACGCAAGUAUGAAACUUAAAGGAAUUGACGGGG
This 388-nucleotide ribosomal RNA is filed under the name uncultured bacterium. RNAcentral describes it as "partial 16S ribosomal RNA". It matches the Rfam family "Bacterial small subunit ribosomal RNA", at positions 523 to 918 of the family's 1533-position model. The record is from RNAcentral.